Molecule: ribosomal RNA, 484 nt
Filed under: uncultured bacterium
Lineage: Bacteria
Description: partial 16S ribosomal RNA
Rfam family: Bacterial small subunit ribosomal RNA
Source: RNAcentral
AUUGAACGCUGGCGGAAUGCUUUACACAUGCAAGUCGAGCGGCAGCACGGGGGCAACCCUGGUGGCGAGCGGCGAACGGGUGAGUAAUACAUCGGAACAUGCCCAGUCGUGGGGGAUAACACUUCGAAAGAAGUGCUAAUACCGCAUACGUCCUGAGGGGGAAAGCGGGGGAUCGCAAGACCUCGCGCGAUUGGAGUGGCCGAUGUCAGAUUAGCUAGUUGGUGGGGUAAAGGCCUACCAAGGCAACGAUCUGUAGCUGGUCUGAGAGGAUGAUCAGCCACACUGGGACUGAGACACGGCCCAGACUCCUACGGGAGGCAGCAGUAGGGAAUUUUGGACAAUGGGCGCAAGCCUGAUCCAGCCAUUCCGCGUGAGUGAAGAAGGCCUUCGGAUUGUAAAGCUCUUUCGGCAGGAACGAAACGGUGAGCUCUAACAUAGCUUGCUAAUGACGGUACCUGAAGAAGAAGCACCGGCUAACUACGUG